UCUGGCUAGCUGUCAAUGGGUCAUGAUGAGCUAUGGGGAGUUAGCCCCAAACCAAUGCUUGUGGUGGGAUCUAGCAUUGCUGUGGGCAUCAAAAUUAUGGACCGGAGUGAGUCAGAAUCUGAUAGAGUGGCUCCCCCAUUCAGGGAGCAUGUGCAGAAUGCCAGCUUAGAAGCCAAGAAUGCUGGAGAGUGAAUCCAAAAAAGGAGUUCUCUUUGGAGGAAGAAGGAAACAAUGUUGAAAAGAAAGGGCAUAAAAAGAGAAUGAGGUAAGUCUGUCUUUUGAGUGAGUUGAGUCUUCUCUUUCAGAGAAUCAUCUGAUGAAAUUCCAGGCUCCUGAAAGGUUGGAGGAAGAGUCAGGGAAGCAGGGAUAUAGCAAGCCCAUAAUGACAACUAACACCUCCAAAACUGAAUAGGGCUAGAUGAAAUGUAAUGGAACCUUCAGAUAUAUGAAGAUUUAAUUUCGCACAAGUGUUGCCAACAGUCAUGUUCUGAGAGCUGCUACUGUAGAAGGAAAAAACAAGCAUGCUAGGACCCCGGAUUAUGCUGGGCGUGAGUGUCAACAGCAGCCCAGAUUGGAGGCCCAGAACCUACUGAAGAUUCCAGAAGCCUGCCAGGCUCCUUUGCCAGAGAAGAAGAAUAAAAAACAACCCACUGAAAACUUCAGUUGUUCAGGUAAGAUCAACAAACUAGAUGAGUGAAAGGGAGCCAGAAGCAGAAACGGGACAAGGAAAUAGACUAUUAGUGUGACAAGCGCUCCGAUAUGGACUGCCACAAGGAUAUAGGUGAGAGAUAUCAAAUCCAGUUGAAAGGAGCUGGGGAGUUUUCAGGGAAAAAUAAGAAGUUAGCUAGGUAAGGAAGGGAAGAAGGGCAUUCCCAGCAAAGGGAGUAACACAUGCAAAGUUGCAAAGGGGUGGAGGAACAUGGUAUUUUCGAGGUGGCUGGGCAAGAGAAGAAGACAGGGUGGUGAUGGAAGUGAUAGCCAGAGUCCCUGUAGGCCUUGCUAAAGAAUCUGGACUUUAUCCUGAAGGCAAUGGGGAACCACUGCUAAAGAAGGAUAAUGACAUCAGAUUUGCAUUUUAGAAACAUCAGUUUGUCCACAGGAUGGGAGAUAGAUAAAGGCGUUGAUGUGCAGUACCUUUGUGGAACAGGGAGAGAGAGAGUCAGGGGCUAUUUUCAGUAACCUAGAUGAGAACUUACAUAAAGAGAAGGAAGAUAGAUUCUAGAGUUCUCAUUGUGUGUCUUAGCGUAACAACAGUAAUUUACUCCUUCUGACGACACUACACAUUUGUGAUUGACAUCAUUAUGGCUGCUUUUGUUAGAUUCCAUCUGUGUGUGUGUGUGUGUGUGUGUGUGUAUGGAUCAUGUCUCCUCAAAUUAACUACAGGCUUGUUGAAGACUAUAUCCUUAAAUUCUUUGUAGUUUUUACAAUGCCUUAUUCAGCAUCUUGAAUACAGUGAAUGUUCAGAAUAUGCUUUUUGAGUGACUGUUAUUAAUUUUUGACAUAAUCCUUGAACAUUCAAGAAUGCUAGAAAGCCAGACCCAGUGAGCUGAUUUACCUCAGGACUCAGAAGUGCAUGUUCCCUCAUUCUAGCCAUUAAAUUAGCCCCAUACCAGCAAUGCCAGCUUUGAACAUUAGCUAUUUCCAUCCAUGCUUUAUCAGCCAACGGAUAUACACCACAGAGACUUUUCCAGGUCCAAGGUUCCUGGGUAAUGACAAAUGCCACAAAUAAUACCACCCAAUAUGAGUUUAGUACUUUAUCAUUUUUAAGGUAUUUUGUGAUCCAUUAUCUCAUUUAUUUAUUUUUCAUUUGUUUUAUUCAUUCGUCAAGUCCCAGCCAGAGGCAGGAAUUAUUAUAGAGGAAAGAAUCGAACAGCCAGAUAAAGUGUCUGACCAAGGUCCCCACUUAGAGAAAAUAGAGACUGAGCCCAGGUCUGUGUGUGCUCAGGAAGUCAGUGUGGUACAGGGAGAAGAGUCUGGGAUGAGAGUUACAGGGAACUGUGCUAGAAAUCACGUCCUUUCACAAAAUGAACCUGUGAGGCAAGCCAUUUCUCCUUUCUGUGUUUCAGCUUCUCCGUGAGUAAAAUGGAAGUGAUACCACCUAUCUCACAGAGCAGCUCUGAAGGCCAAAAAGAUGACACAUACAAAGCACUUAGCACCAUGCCUAGAAUAAUUAAUACUUCUCAGAUCCUCUUUAUCUCAGCUCAACACACUCCCAACUGGUCCAACAAGUUCCCAAAAGUGUCUGAGAGAGCUGUAAAAUACAGAUUCCUAGGCUCCACUCCAGAUCUACAAAAUUAGUAUGUCUGGGGAGAAGGCCCAGAUGAUUCUGAUACACAUUUCCAUGGGGAACCACUGGAUAGGACCAUAUCAUUAGCCCACAUCAGUCUAACUUUCAGAGGAAAAGCAAGAGGAAUCCACAUUUUUUGGAAACCUACACUGUGCUUGAUGCAGUGCUAGCAGCUUUCACUUGAAAGAUACAUUUGUCUCUUUCUCAUAAUUUCUCACAGUUCACCAGGGUGAGGCUAGGUGACAAUGAUUUGAAAAAGUUAUAUGACACAGAACACAGAUAUAACAUAUAUUUUCAUCCCUGUAACUCUAGCCUCGCCAGGGAAUUGCUCCUGGGAUUACAGUUGACCCUAGUUUUCCUCCUGGUUCCUGCGUUUGAAACCCAUUUCACUUUAUUAAAAAACCUUCUAUAUUGUCCAACCUAUACUAAUAACAAUAGUAAUACUAUCAGUUAAUGUCAGGCCAAGCAGCUCAUGCCUGUAAUCCCAGCACUUUAAGAGGCCGAGCUGGGCAGCUUAGAUGAGUCCAGCAAUUUGAGACCAGCCUGGGCAACAUGGUGAAGCCCCG
RNAcentral lists this long non-coding RNA (2853 nucleotides) under Homo sapiens (human). RNAcentral describes it as "HSALNT0408440". The record is from RNAcentral. Lineage: Eukaryota; Metazoa; Chordata; Mammalia; Primates; Hominidae.